This 440-nucleotide ribosomal RNA is filed under the name uncultured Micropruina sp. RNAcentral describes it as "bacterial SSU rRNA". It matches the Rfam family "Bacterial small subunit ribosomal RNA", at positions 338 to 795 of the family's 1533-position model. Lineage: Bacteria; Bacillati; Actinomycetota; Actinomycetes; Propionibacteriales; Nocardioidaceae. The record is from RNAcentral.
CCUACGGGAGGCAGCAGUGGGGAAUAUUGCGCAAUGGGCGAAAGCCUGACGCAGCAACGCCGCGUGCGGGAUGACGGCCUUCGGGUUGUAAACCGCUUUCAGCAGGGACGAAACUGACGGUACCUGCAGAAGAAGCACCGGCUAACUACGUGCCAGCAGCCGCGGUGAUACGUAGGGUGCGAGCGUUGUCCGGAAUUAUUGGGCGUAAAGAGCUCGUAGGCGGUCUGUCGCGUCGGAAGUGAAAACUCGGGGCUCAACCCCGAGCCGGCUUUCGAUACGGGCAGACUUGAGGAAUGUAGGGGAGAACGGAAUUCCUGGUGGAGCGGUGGAAUGCGCAGAUAUCAGGAGGAACACCAGUGGCGAAGGCGGUUCUCUGGACAUUAACUGACGCUGAGGAGCGAAAGCGUGGGGAGCAAACAGGCUUAGAUACCCGUGUAGUC